RNAcentral lists this transfer RNA (94 nucleotides) under Sclerotinia borealis F-4128. It matches the Rfam family "tRNA". Rfam says of the family: Transfer RNA (tRNA) molecules are approximately 80 nucleotides in length. Their secondary structure includes four short double-helical elements and three loops (D, anti-codon, and T loops). Lineage: Eukaryota; Fungi; Ascomycota; Leotiomycetes; Helotiales; Sclerotiniaceae. The record is from Rfam by way of RNAcentral.
GGCCACAUGGCGCAAUGGCAGCGUGUCACUUUCCGGUAUUGUCUCCAAUAUCACCAGUAGGUGAAGGUUGUGGGUUCGAGUCCCACUUUGGUCG